This 2927-nucleotide ribosomal RNA is filed under the name Escherichia coli. RNAcentral's name for it is "partial 23S ribosomal RNA". It matches the Rfam family "Bacterial large subunit ribosomal RNA". Lineage: Bacteria; Pseudomonadati; Pseudomonadota; Gammaproteobacteria; Enterobacterales; Enterobacteriaceae. The record is from RNAcentral.
GGGUUGUGAGGUUAAGCGACUAAGCGUACACGGUGGAUGCCCUGGCAGUCAGAGGCGAUGAAGGACGUGCUAAUCUGCGAUAAGCGUCGGUAAGGUGAUAUGAACCGUUAUAACCGGCGAUUUCCGAAUGGGGAAACCCAGUGUGAUUCGUCACACUAUCAUUAACUGAAUCCAUAGGUUAAUGAGGCGAACCGGGGGAACUGAAACAUCUAAGUACCCCGAGGAAAAGAAAUCAACCGAGAUUCCCCCAGUAGCGGCGAGCGAACGGGGAGCAGCCCAGAGCCUGAAUCAGUGUGUGUGUUAGUGGAAGCGUCUGGAAAGGCGCGCGAUACAGGGUGACAGCCCCGUACACAAAAAUGCACAUACUGUGAGCUCGAUGAGUAGGGCGGGACACGUGGUAUCCUGUCUGAAUAUGGGGGGACCAUCCUCCAAGGCUAAAUACUCCUGACUGACCGAUAGUGAACCAGUACCGUGAGGGAAAGGCGAAAAGAACCCCGGCGAGGGGAGUGAAAAAGAACCUGAAACCGUGUACGUACAAGCAGUGGGAGCACAGAGCAAUCUGUGUGACUGCGUACCUUUUGUAUAAUGGGUCAGCGACUUAUAUUCUGUAGCAAGGUUAACCGAAUAGGGGAGCCGAAGGGAAACCGAGUCUUAACUGGGCGUUAAGUUGCAGGGUAUAGACCCGAAACCCGGUGAUCUAGCCAUGGGCAGGUUGAAGGUUGGGUAACACUAACUGGAGGACCGAACCGACUAAUGUUGAAAAAUUAGCGGAUGACUUGUGGCUGGGGGUGAAAGGCCAAUCAAACCGGGAGAUAGCUGGUUCUCCCCGAAAGCUAUUUAGGUAGCGCCUCGUGAAUUCAUCUCCGGGGGUAGAGCACUGUUUCGGCAAGGGGGUCAUCCCGACUUACCAACCCGAUGCAAACUGCGAAUACCGGAGAAUGUUAUCACGGGAGACACACGGCGGGUGCUAACGUCCGUCGUGAAGAGGGAAACAACCCAGACCGCCAGCUAAGGUCCCAAAGUCAUGGUUAAGUGGGAAACGAUGUGGGAAGGCCCAGACAGCCAGGAUGUUGGCUUAGAAGCAGCCAUCAUUUAAAGAAAGCGUAAUAGCUCACUGGUCGAGUCGGCCUGCGCGGAAGAUGUAACGGGGCUAAACCAUGCACCGAAGCUGCGGCAGCGACGCUUAUGCGUUGUUGGGUAGGGGAGCGUUCUGUAAGCCUGCGAAGGUGUGCUGUGAGGCAUGCUGGAGGUAUCAGAAGUGCGAAUGCUGACAUAAGUAACGAUAAAGCGGGUGAAAAGCCCGCUCGCCGGAAGACCAAGGGUUCCUGUCCAACGUUAAUCGGGGCAGGGUGAGUCGACCCCUAAGGCGAGGCCGAAAGGCGUAGUCGAUGGGAAACAGGUUAAUAUUCCUGUACUUGGUGUUACUGCGAAGGGGGGACGGAGAAGGCUAUGUUGGCCGGGCGACGGUUGUCCCGGUUUAAGCGUGUAGGCUGGUUUUCCAGGCAAAUCCGGAAAAUCAAGGCUGAGGCGUGAUGACGAGGCACUACGGUGCUGAAGCAACAAAUGCCCUGCUUCCAGGAAAAGCCUCUAAGCAUCAGGUAACAUCAAAUCGUACCCCAAACCGACACAGGUGGUCAGGUAGAGAAUACCAAGGCGCUUGAGAGAACUCGGGUGAAGGAACUAGGCAAAAUGGUGCCGUAACUUCGGGAGAAGGCACGCUGAUAUGUAGGUGAAGUCCCUCGCGGAUGGAGCUGAAAUCAGUCGAAGAUACCAGCUGGCUGCAACUGUUUAUUAAAAACACAGCACUGUGCAAACACGAAAGUGGACGUAUACGGUGUGACGCCUGCCCGGUGCCGGAAGGUUAAUUGAUGGGGUUAGCGCAAGCGAAGCUCUUGAUCGAAGCCCCGGUAAACGGCGGCCGUAACUAUAACGGUCCUAAGGUAGCGAAAUUCCUUGUCGGGUAAGUUCCGACCUGCACGAAUGGCGUAAUGAUGGCCAGGCUGUCUCCACCCGAGACUCAGUGAAAUUGAACUCGCUGUGAAGAUGCAGUGUACCCGCGGCAAGACGGAAAGACCCCGUGAACCUUUACUAUAGCUUGACACUGAACAUUGAGCCUUGAUGUGUAGGAUAGGUGGGAGGCUUUGAAGUGUGGACGCCAGUCUGCAUGGAGCCGACCUUGAAAUACCACCCUUUAAUGUUUGAUGUUCUAACGUUGACCCGUGAUCCGGGUUGCGGACAGUGUCUGGUGGGUAGUUUGACUGGGGCGGUCUCCUCCUAAAGAGUAACGGAGGAGCACGAAGGUUGGCUAAUCCUGGUCGGACAUCAGGAGGUUAGUGCAAUGGCAUAAGCCAGCUUGACUGCGAGCGUGACGGCGCGAGCAGGUGCGAAAGCAGGUCAUAGUGAUCCGGUGGUUCUGAAUGGAAGGGCCAUCGCUCAACGGAUAAAAGGUACUCCGGGGAUAACAGGCUGAUACCGCCCAAGAGUUCAUAUCGACGGCGGUGUUUGGCACCUCGAUGUCGGCUCAUCACAUCCUGGGGCUGAAGUAGGUCCCAAGGGUAUGGCUGUUCGCCAUUUAAAGUGGUACGCGAGCUGGGUUUAGAACGUCGUGAGACAGUUCGGUCCCUAUCUGCCGUGGGCGCUGGAGAAUUGAGGGGGGCUGCUCCUAGUACGAGAGGACCGGAGUGGACGCAUCACUGGUGUUCGGGUUGUCAUGCCAAUGGCACUGCCCGGUAGCUAAAUGCGGAAGAGAUAAGUGCUGAAAGCAUCUAAGCACGAAACUUGCCCCGAGAUGAGUUCUCCCUGACUCCUUGAGAGUCCUGAAGGAACGUUGAAGACGACGACGUUGAUAGGCCGGGUGUGUAAGCGCAGCGAUGCGUUGAGCUAACCGGUACUAAUGAACCGUGAGGCUUAACCUUACAACGCCGAAG